GGUUCCAUAUUGUUGUGGUUGGCACGUCUGCUUUAUACACAGAAGGUCCUGGGUUCACUCCCCACUGGAGCCA
RNAcentral lists this transfer RNA (73 nucleotides) under Pteropus alecto (black flying fox). It matches the Rfam family "tRNA". From Rfam's summary of the family: Transfer RNA (tRNA) molecules are approximately 80 nucleotides in length. Lineage: Eukaryota; Metazoa; Chordata; Mammalia; Chiroptera; Pteropodidae. The record is from Rfam by way of RNAcentral.